CCCUUAGAUGUUCUGGGCCGCACGCGCGCUACACUGACGCAUUCAACGAGUCUAAAACCUGCUCUGAUAGGGGUGGGUAAUCUUUUGAAUGUGCAUCGUGAUUGGGAUAGAUGAUUGCAAUUUUUCAUCUUCAACGAGGAAUGCCUAGUAAACGCAAGUCAUCAGCUUGCAUUGAUUACGUCCCUGCCCUUUGUACACACCGCCCGUCGCUCCUACCGAUUGAAUGAUCCGAUGAAUAUCAUGGAUUGAGGAUGCAAGUAGGUUCGCCUAUCUUCAUCUUCGAGAAGUGAAGUAAAUCUUAUCAUUUAGAGGAAGGAGAAGUCGUAACA
Molecule: ribosomal RNA, 329 nt
Filed under: uncultured eukaryote
Lineage: Eukaryota
Description: partial 18S ribosomal RNA
Rfam family: Eukaryotic small subunit ribosomal RNA
Source: RNAcentral